RNAcentral lists this ribosomal RNA (456 nucleotides) under uncultured bacterium. RNAcentral's name for it is "bacterial SSU rRNA". It matches the Rfam family "Bacterial small subunit ribosomal RNA", at positions 340 to 785 of the family's 1533-position model. The record is from RNAcentral.
UACGGGAGGCAGCAGUGGGGAAUAUUGCACAAUGGGCGCAAGCCUGAUGCAGCCAUGCCGCGUGUAUGAAGAAGGCCUUCGGGUUGUAAAGUACUUUCAGCGGGGAGGAAGGCGGUGAAGUUAAUAGCUUCACCGAUUGACGUUACCCGCAGAAGAAGCACCGGCUAACUCCGUGCCAGCAGCCGCGGUAAUACGGAGGGUGCAAGCGUUAAUCGGAAUUACUGGGCGUAAAGCGCACGCAGGCGGUCUGUCAAGUCGGAUGUGAAAUCCCCGGGCUUAACCUGGGAACUGCAUUCGAAACUGGCAGGCUAGAGUCUUGUAGAGGGGGUAGAAUUCCAGGUGUAGCGGUGAAAUGCGUAGAGAUCUGGAGGAAUACCGGUGGCGAAGGCGGCCCCUGGGACAAAGACUGACGCUCAGGGUGCGAAAGCGUGGGGAGCGAAACAGGGAUUAGGAUAC